GACGAACGCUGGCGGCAUGCCUAAUACAUGCAAGUCGAACGCGGCCAUCCGGUGCUUGCACUGGUGAAGCCGAGUGGCGAACGGGUGAGUAACACGUGAGAAACCUGCCCUGGAGUGGGGAAUAACUCGAAGAAAUUCGAGCUAAUACCGCAUACCUUCUCUUCACCGCAUGGUGAGUUGAAGAAAGAUUUAUCGCUCUAGGAGGGUCUCGCGGCCUAUCAGCUAGUUGGUGAGGUAAUGGCUCACCAAGGCAUCGACGGGUAGCUGGUCUGAGAGGACGAUCAGCCACACUGGGACUGAGACACGGCCCAGACUCCUACGGGAGGCAGCAGUAGGGAAUCUUGCGCAAUGGGCGAAAGCCUGACGCAGCAAUGCCGCGUGCGGGACGAAGGCCCUAGGGUCGUAAACCGCUUUCAGUAGGGACGAAAAUGACGGUACCUGCAGAAGAAGCUCCGGCCAACUACGUGCCAGCAGCCGCGGUAAACACG
Molecule: ribosomal RNA, 488 nt
Filed under: uncultured bacterium
Lineage: Bacteria
Description: bacterial SSU rRNA
Rfam family: Bacterial small subunit ribosomal RNA
Source: RNAcentral